AAAUCUUCCAGAAAGGCUUAAAAGUGUCACUCCCCAGUAUCCUCCUUGUCCAGUCACAUCCUUGUGCCCUUUUCCCUGCCCACAGCUGCUGACUGUCCCAAGGAAGGCUGUUGAGCGGUGGCCACCUCCUGAGAAGCUGACUGACAUCCUGCUUCCUUCGCUGUUUAUCUUGGUGCAGCAAUCUCUGUGAUGAUUCUUCCUACUUGCAGUGGGUGAUGCUGCUAAGAAAGGUCCCUGGCUCCUGCUGUGCACGUCAGAGAACAAGCCGCCGCUGUGGGGAAGGAAGCACAGAGAAGAGCUGGGGUGGCACAGCACAACUGCCCGGGCAGAGGACUGACUGGCUCGCCAUGGCUCUGGUUACCUCGAAGAUGACAUGGGGCAGCAUGGAGGUGACCCUGACCAGGCUCUGCACUGUCCUGCUCUGCUGUGGCCCUAUGCUGGCUGGCUGCCGCCGGGUGACCUUCUUCCCAGCAAUGUUAACCCUCCCUGCAGGUGGCUCAGCCACCUUCUUCUGCAAUAUCUCCAUGGAGAACGAGUCCAGCUCGGAGUACAGCCUCAGUUGGUACAAGGAGACCAACCACAGCCAAACCCAAAAAAUCGCUGAGAUCAGCCCCCAGAUCAGCCAGAUCAAUGGCCAGGUGAAGACAGAGAAGUACCUGCUCACCAACCACACUCCUUCCUUCAAGCUUGAGAUCCUGAACCUCCACCAGAACGAUUCAGGCUCCUACUUCUGUGGUCUGAUCACCUUCUUUGAAAACAAUAAUGUGAUGGAGAGCAGUAGAUCCCAGCUGGUGGUCACAGCAGCCCCUGAGAAGACGAAUGCUACUGAUGAGCCUGAGACAGAGGAAAGCAGCCCCCCAGACUAUAUCAAGGCCAUGGUCCUGGGGAUCCUGUUGCUGGUUGGGGCGGUUGUGCUGCUGAUCUUUGGCUACCUCACCAUCACGUACAGGAGAGGAGGUAUGAUCCCCUGCAGAGGCCAUGCUGUGCCAAGGGGCUGGGUUCUGCCAGGGGACCUGAUGGAUGAUGCUAACCCAGAAAGCCCAGCUGGGACCUUGGGGCAGCCAGAUGCCUGCAACUCGCUGGGGUACAUGGACUGGUUCAGUGUGCUAAAACCAGCUUUAGCAUGCCCCCAUGGGACAGGUAUCUCCAUGCCUAGGGGAGGAGGGUGCUUUUGGGCCCUGCUUGCCCUUCGUAGAGACCCCAGACCACAUGGUGUGGCUCUGUGCUACUCAGUAGUGUGGUCUGUUAAUGCUGUAGGAGUCCCUUCCAUACACCUUGUAUGGGCACCUUGUCACUCUCAUCACCUCCCUGCUGUGGGCACCUGUGGGGCUUUCCCAGAAGUGACCCCCAAAGAAUCACACCCCACUAAUCCUAAUUAAACCCUGGGCUGGUAUCACACUUGUCUUUGUAAUGCUCAGUGUGUUAGACCCCAAAGGGAGAAGGGGAAAGUGGGGUGCAAUGGUUGUGGUGUCCAGUGCUCUUGCAGGACAUGGGGACUGGGUCAGCCUCAGAUGCUCAUGCUGUCUUGGCAUGCAAGCAUCUUCUAACCAAACGUGUUACUUUGCAGAUGUACAGAAACCACAAAGUGAAAACACGCCAGCGAAGGAAGAGAAACCCCCUGUGGUGUCCGUGUCCACUGUGGACUAUGGCGUGCUGGAGUUUCAGUGUGAUCAGCACAUCCAGGUCCCCCCAGAGACCUCACCAGUUGACCAGAC
Molecule: RNA transcript, 1715 nt
Organism: Neopsephotus bourkii (Bourke's parrot)
Lineage: Eukaryota; Metazoa; Chordata; Aves; Psittaciformes; Psittacidae
Gene: PDCD1
Gene name: programmed cell death 1
Exons: 5
Source: RefSeq, a predicted model, not a curated record